ACAAAAACACGUAAAAUAGAACAACUUAAAAUAGAAACUUUAUAGAGACACAAAAAAUCAACUUGACGAAAAAACUAAAAUCUAAUUUAAGAUAUUGUAAAAAUGUUCAUAUAUACGAAUUUUCCAAUCAGGAAUUCAAAAUUAUGUGACAUUUCCGACUAAACUACAUGUUAAACAUGUCCAUCACCAAAAAGAAAACAUAAAACACACCAUCAGGAAUCAAAAAAUUACCAUCGUUUUUACCGUGUAACCCCAUAAACCAUAACGAAAAAUCACAUUCAAAUCGAACCUCAUUUCGACUCCCACUCACUGCGAUAUACCAGCGCAGCGCGGGACCAUCACAAAUAGUACAUAUUUUCGAAGAAAACAAUAAUAAUAACAUUGAAAAAGGGAAAAUUCAAAAAAAAACAAAACGAUAGAAAAUCUAAAACAUUUUCUAGUAAACUCGCCAUGCAUCUGCCAACUCAUGUCCCGCUGUUGUCUUUCACCAAAACAGAAAUACUGUCCACCAGAAUCGGCGGCUAUAGUGCAUAUACAGUUAGAACAACCACCACUUGGAAAACGAACAAACCUACACAGCCACAAGUUCACAGCAUGUGCUAUAUUUUGGGGCCAACAUACACAAAUAGACAAUCUCAUAUCGCCACAUAGAGAAUCACCGAUGUUGUUGUGCCUCUCUGACUCCGAGCAAGACGACAAAACUGUGUUCAAUAGCUAGCGACAUCCCCCGAAAAAGUUCUACCACUGCUACUGCUACCAAAUGGAACGUCGUCGUAGUCGUUGUCGUUUUCGUUGUCGUCGUCGACGAGACCGAGACCAAGGCGACCGAUUCAUAUUGAAUCUUGGAGUGGAGCCAGUUGUUUGCGAAUUGUUUGCCAGUGCAGUGUUGUGCCGCUUCUGGCACAGGCAGGCAACGUGCGGUGCCACCAAUCGUGCCUUCGGGCACGAUUGAGACGCAUCCAAGAAAAAUUACGCCCGACAACCAAAAAAAAAAUAAAAACCUUAACGUAAAAAAAAGAACAUCAAAAUUCUUAAACGGAUCGGGCCAGCCAACAAACCAUCCGACCAUCUGAAGUUCUCUCGGGCCGUCGUCGUCAUCGACAAAAAAAAAGUAAAACAUAUUUUGGACGGUGUCUCGUAACUUGGCCACUGAUUCAGAAACUCAUCAUCAUCAUCACCAUCAGCAGCAGCAGCAAUAGUAGCAGUACCAGCAGAAGCGAAAUAUACUUCUGAUGGCCAAGUCCAAGAGUGUCUCCUUCCAUUGGCAUCGGCGGCAUCACCAUCGCCAACCAUUACUUUCGACCUUCGAACAGGAGAAGGAGACAUUUUUCGUUGUUCAUUGGUCCACCACCACAUGAUGACAACGAUAAUGAUUCUUGGAGAUGCUGCUGGUGGUGGCCAAAUCCAAGAUGUUGAUGGCCAACAUUUCACCUCAUUCAGAGCCAACUGGAUUUUUAUCCUUAUGGUUUUGCUUCCAUUUUGCUUCCGGCUUCAAACAACAGGUUGAAGAGAAGACAAUGAUGACGAAGGAAGUUGGAAUUUCAAUUGUUUUACCAUCAUCAUUGGCAUUUAAAUAAAAUAUACGUCCGUCUCGAUCAUACAGCUUAGCUCCUUCCAUCCACAGAGCUAAAGUGUCAACGAUAUACCAAAGGAAACCCCAAAUUCCCUCAUCGUCAUCGUCGUCGUCGUCAUCAUCAGUACCACCAUCAGUCAAAGGUGGAAGGCAUCAGUAGCGUCAUUCGUCGUCGUCCCAUCAAAAGAAUGCCAGCGAGUGGAACGUUUGUUGCGUUAUCGUGUCGGUCGUGGGCCAACUGGCUAAUACCCAAAAAAACAAUAAAACACACAAAAAAAGGAAACUCUUCUUGUUUUGUGCCUGGGCCGAAAACGACAAUGUCACCAUCAACAUCCUCAUCAUCAUCACCAUCACCAAGAAACCAGGAACGAGGCCAAUUAUUGUUAUUGGAGUGGACGACACGUCGUCGUUUGUAUCCUAGAAAUGCGUCCAUUCUUUCAUCGGUGGAUGGAUGAUGAUGAUGAAGAAAAACGAAGACCAACCGUCAUCGAGUGUCCAUAUCUUAUUCAAAGACGUCGUCGUCUUCGUCGUUUUCAACGUAGUUCGACGAGAAGUCCCAACAAGGACCUGUGUAACAUCGCAUCUUCUAACAUCUUGCACCUUAAACGAGAAAUGGAUUUAGUGUCAUUUUGUGGUGUGCGCGAAGAAUAAAAAAUAAACUUUAAAUAUAAAACAGUUACAUAGUAGUGAAUAAUCGUUAUUUUUAAGAAUAUUACACAAAAUAUUACUUGAAAUAGUUUAAAACUUAAAAUUAACAAAGAAAACAAACACAUUAAGUUUAGUGUUAAAAGUUGCUGCUAGUUUAAAGAAAAAAAUAAUAACAAAAACAAAAUAUUUUAUCCACAAAAUAUACAGUAAAAUAAAAAAAGGGAUAAACAUAAAUAAAUAAUAUUAGUGAUUAAUUUUUAAAUAAAUUCUAAACAAGAAUAAAUAAACAACAAAAAAACUUUAAGUUAUAAAAUGCUGAUGAAUCGAAGCAAUAGUAGUGGAAAAGUUUUUAAAACUUCAUCAAAUUUUAAACAUCGUGAAUCAAUGCAGCCGAAUGACUCCGACAAAAAUACAAGGCAUUCAUUUGCCAAUGAAUUUAUCCAAAUCUCCUGCCAACUUCAUUGGCUGCUUUCUGGGCCUGACCAACCCUACAGCAGUAGCAACAACAAAAAACCGAUGCGCACAAAAAUGCAUUUCAACAACCAUCCCAAAAACACCACUUCCAUCGUGCCGUGCUGAGGACUCACGCGUACUUGUGGACGAUGAUGAUGUCUCGAAGCGCAAGAGUCCACAUUCCACAUACGCCUGACUCUUCAGCAUUCUAUAUACGUGGCAGUGGUUAGCAUUGGACAGAAGUUUUGUGCAUUUUUGUUGUUCGUCGGCGUCGCCUUUGAAUUGAAUUUGGCAGGACAUUUCGAUAGAGGGAUAGAGCGAGAAACACCUAGUGUAUAAGUUGUAGAAGGAGAAGGAUUUUGGAGGGACACACAAUAAUGCAGUUCACCUAUUGGAUGCAAGAACCAGAGAGGGUUAUUUUGUUGUGUUGUUAACCGAACAAAACGAACCAACCCUUAGCUACUUGAAUUUAAUUAACCAACAUAUGUACAAUUGUGGAAGUCCUUUCUUAUGAAUAUGUAUACCAAAGGAGUCACUUUAUGCUGCAUUAUAAUUUGCGAUAGAAAUAACAGUUUUAUAUAUUUUUAUUUGGCAAGAUUCAAGGCUCCACAGCACUGGAUGAUAGUUUUUGUUUAGCAGACUAAGACAAAGUCUCCAGCCUAAGGACUCCUUAUUAGCUGCAUUU
This is a long non-coding RNA of Eupeodes corollae, 3359 nucleotides long. RefSeq lists it as uncharacterized. The record is from RefSeq and is a predicted model, not a curated record. Lineage: Eukaryota; Metazoa; Arthropoda; Insecta; Diptera; Syrphidae. The transcript has 2 exons.